RNAcentral lists this ribosomal RNA (255 nucleotides) under uncultured bacterium. RNAcentral describes it as "partial 16S ribosomal RNA". It matches the Rfam family "Bacterial small subunit ribosomal RNA", at positions 524 to 776 of the family's 1533-position model. The record is from RNAcentral.
UACGGGGGGGAGCAAGCGUUGUUCGGAUUUACUGGGCGUAAAGGGCGCGUAGGCGGCGCAACAAGUCACUUGUGAAAUCUCCGGGCUUAACCCGGAGCGGCCAAGUGAUACUGUCGUGCUAGAGUGCGGAAGGGGCUACUGGAAUUCUCGGUGUAGCGGUGAAAUGCGUAGAUAUCGAGAGGAACACCUGCGGCGAAGGCGGGUAGCUGGGCCGGACACUGACGCUGAGGCGCGAAAGCCAGGGGAGCGAACGGG